This 1477-nucleotide ribosomal RNA is filed under the name human gut metagenome. RNAcentral's name for it is "bacterial LSU rRNA". It matches the Rfam family "Bacterial large subunit ribosomal RNA", at positions 1100 to 2641 of the family's 2925-position model. The record is from RNAcentral.
GUUGGCUUAGAAGCAGCCACUCAUUUAAAGAGUGCGUAAUAGCUCACUAGUCGAGUGAUUGUGCGCCGAAAAUGUAACGGGGCUAAAAUUCAUACCGAAGCUUAGGCUUUGCACACUUUGUGUGCGAGGGGUAGAUGAGCGUUGUGUAAGUCUGCGAAGCUACACCGAAAGGAGUAGUGGAGAUAUCACAAGUGAGAAUGCCGGAAUGAGUAGCGAGAAUUAUGUGAGAAUCAUAAUGGUCGAAAAUCUAAGGUUUCUUGAGGAAGGUUCGUCCGCUCAAGGUAAGCCGGGAGCUAAGGCGAGGCCGAGAGGCGUAGUCGAUGCACAUACGGUAAAGAUUCCGUAGCCACCGAAGUCGUUAAAUACAGGGACACAGGAACAUAGCCUAACCCCACCGUUGGUUGAGUGGGGCGUAAGGGAGCGAAAAUUAGUAGCGAAGUAGGUGAUUGUACACUGGCGAGAAAAGCUGUAUGAAUUGACCAGGUGCCCGUACCGCAAACCGACACAGGUAGAUGAGGAGAGAAUCCUAAGACCAGCGGGAGAAGUGUUGUUAAGGAACUCGGCAAAAUGACCCCGUAACUUCGGGAUAAGGGGAGCCUACGCGAGUAGGCCGCAGAGAAUAGUCUCAAGCGACUGUUUAGCAAAAACACAGGUCUAUGCUAAAUCGAAAGAUGAUGUAUAUGGGCUGACGCCUGCCCGGUGCUGGAAGGUUAAGGGGAAGUGUUAGAGCAAUCGAAGCACUGAACUUAAGCCCCAGUAAACGGCGGCCGUAACUAUAACGGUCCUAAGGUAGCGAAAUUCCUUGUCAGGUAAGUUCUGACCCGCACGAAUGGCGUAACGACUUGAGAGCUGUCUCAACAACAUACCCGGCGAAAUUGAAGUACUGGUAAAGAUGCCAGUUACCCGUGAUAAGACGGAAAGACCCCAUGGAGCUUUACUGUAACUUGAUAUUGAAUUUUUGUAUUACAUGUACAGGAUAGGUGGGAGACAGAGAACUAAUGCCGCCAGGUGUUAGGGAGUCGAUGUUGGGAUACCACUCUUGUAAUAUGAAGGUUCUAACCUGCACCCGUGAAUCCGGGUGGGGGACACUGUCAGGUGGACAGUUUGACUGGGGCGGUCGCCUCCUAAAAAGUAACGGAGGCGUUCAAAGGUUGGUUCAGCACGGACGGAAAUCGUGCAACGAGUGCAAACGCAUAAACCAGCCUAACUGCGAGACCGACAAGUCGAGCAGUAACGAAAGUUGGAGUUAGUGAUCCGGCGGUAUGAGAGUGGAAUUGCCGUCGCUCAACGGAUAAAAGCUACCCUGGGGAUAACAGGCUGAUCUCCCCCAAGAGUCCACAUCGACGGGGAGGUUUGGCACCUCGAUGUCGGCUCAUCGCAUCCUGGGGCUGUAUUCGGUCCCAAGGGUUUGGCUGUUCGCCAAUUAAAGCGGUACGCGAGCUGGGUUCAGAACGUCGUGAGACAGUUCGGUCCCUAU